This 498-nucleotide ribosomal RNA is filed under the name uncultured bacterium. RNAcentral's name for it is "partial 16S ribosomal RNA". It matches the Rfam family "Bacterial small subunit ribosomal RNA", at positions 30 to 523 of the family's 1533-position model. The record is from RNAcentral.
AUUGAACGCUGGCGGCAUGCCUUACACAUGCAAGUCGAACGGCAGCGGACCUUCGGGUGCCGGCGAGUGGCGAACGGGUGAGUAAUGCAUCGGAACGUACCUUUCAGUAGGGGAUAACGUAGCGAAAGUUACGCUAAUACCGCAUAUUCUGUGAGCAGGAAAGCAGGGGAUCGCAAGACCUUGCGCUGAUUGAGCGGCCGAUGUCAGAUUAGCUAGUUGGUGAGGUAAAGGCUCACCAAGGCGACGAUCUGUAGCGGGUCUGAGAGGAUGAUCCGCCACACUGGAACUGAGACACGGUCCAGACUCCUACGGGAGGCAGCAGUGGGGAAUUUUGGACAAUGGGGGCAACCCUGAUCCAGCCAUGCCGCGUGAGUGAAGAAGGCCUUCGGGUUGUAAAGCUCUUUCGGCCGGGAAGAAAUCGCACGGGCUAAUACCCUGUGUGGAUGACGGUACCGGAAUAAGAAGCACCGGCUAACUACGUGCCAGCAGCCGCGGUAA